AUCCGAUUGUCGUCGUCGUCUGAUGGUCUGACUCCUGUUGAUUCGUUUUUGUUUCUGUUUGAUGUGUGACAUGUGGGUCGUGACCUUUUGUAUAUUUCGGAUCGAUCUGUUCUGACCAGAGUCCAUCCACCAUUCCAACAUUUCCCCUUCGUUGAGCUCGUCCAGGUGCCGCGAUUUUGCUCUCCCCCUUUCUCCGAUCUCGUCUAGGUGAGGCGAUUUGAGUUCUUUCGUUUCAAUUUGUUAGUUGAGAUUAGGGCACAUCUGAUUUUAUUUGAUUUGUUUCUGAUUGGUCUAGGAUUCUUCGACUUUUCCCCUUCUCUCUCUGAUUCUGACCACUUGAGUUAUUCGAUUUUAUCCAGCCAUCAGAUUGACGGAUCAAUAUAGAGGGUUCCUUUUCAUUUGGUUCAGUGCUGAUUGGGCUCGCAUCUGAAUCUGGUGAGCUGCUCUCUAAGUCAUGGCCAUCAGUGUGUAUUCAGUGAAAUUUCUCGAUCUGAAUCGAUUUGAUUUUUUUUUGUUAUACAUCUGCCUGAUCGGCAAUACAUGUGAUGAUCCACUUGGAUGGCAGUUGGAUUCUAAAUCUUAGGCCCGGUUUGUAUAAACUUCAUUACUUCUCCUGCUCCUGAUAGAUAUAGGCUAUGCUUGGCAGCUUCAUGGGCAGACCCACAUUACUUCUAGUAAAUCUGCAUAUUUCUAUCAGCUGGGUUAGCCUUCUUUUUAUGCAGCUUGUUACUUUAUCUGAUUCUAUAUCCUAGAUGACACCCACACCAAUAAGGACAUCAACAAAAACUCACAGCAAUAGACCAUAACUCUCAGUCUAGCUCCAAUAUUUUUCCUCAUUUAGUUAUAUAUAUAAUUUGGAUCGGCUGAUUAGCAGUUUUCAACCAAGUUCUUUGUACGGUGCAUUCUAAAUUAGCUAUACAUGUACCUUUUCACAUGUAGUUCUGCACUUACAGUCUAUAGUUGUUGUAGUUACAGUAACCAUUUUACUGUAAUUCUUAUAUAAGCAAGAUGUCAUUUUUAUUAAUCAAUAUGUUUUCCACUCUGAAUUGAUAUAGUUUCUCAUAUUUUUUCUUUAGUAUCACACCACUUGAACCACAUGCUACGUGAUCAUGUUCUAUGAAAUAUGCAUUUAUAAAUAUUUACUGAUUUGUUAUGUGAAAAGAAUUUUAUCCGAAUGAUUGUUGCCUUCCUUUUUCAAUUUGGCUGACAAGGAUACACAGUGAUAGUUAUGCUUCUACCUCGAAUUUUUGGUUACCAAUUAAUACGAGGUAGUAUUGUCAUUUUCGUAUUUUAUUUUGCCUCAUGAGUAAUUCAUUUGAGGUUUACUUGUCUGCUAUGUAAGGCCGAUCAGGUUUUGUUACAUGGUUUUAGUUAUUUUUCUAUCUGUGCCUACCCUGCCUUGGUUGCGAUUUGGCACCUGAUCCUUACGCACUCAUGCCGCCUGCAUGUUUUCAUUUUACUGAUAUACAUUCAUCUAGUGCAUAAUCAUAUGAAUGAACUUUAUUGUUAACCUAGCACUUUACAUAUAAAUUUGUUUAUCUUAUUUUACAUUGCAGAUCAAUAUUAUUAUUCUUCUAGCUCUUGUAUAUGAGUUACAUGUACCUGCUGUUGGAAUUACAGUCUAGAUACUUAUAAGUUACAGUUUCUGUACUGGUGUAAAUCAUGAAGAAUUGUCAUAUAUGAUCUUUGCUUUAUGUUCCCUUCAACCAAUUAGCACCCCCAAGAUGUAUUUCCACUGAGCAUAUUUGUUUGAAAGGCACCAUCUUCUCAUCAGCAGGGAUAUCUGCAUGUUUGGUGGUGAGGAUGGCUCUCAGCAACGCCUUUGUAUAGUUUGGCAACAACAACCCGUGCCCAGUUAAACCGUUUCAGACUGGCAGUUCAAGCUCUUGAGAUAUAUAGUAUUUCUGCUUCUGCAAUGUGUCUGUUAUAUCUAUCAACUAUCAUGUGAAGUGAUACUAACACUAUGCCUUGAACUGCUACCUAUGAUAGUCGAACUAUCAUGUAGUAUUUUUGGCUGAAAAUUUAUGCAAAACUUUGUAUAUAUGCUCCUGUAAUGGCAUGAUCUACAAAGCCCAAUUGUUCAGGCAAGGCUAUAUUUUAAAGUUCAGGUUAUAUUUGACACAUUUGUUGCCAACCUCUUGCAUGUGGAAA
Long non-coding RNA from Panicum virgatum (switchgrass), 2151 nucleotides. RefSeq lists it as uncharacterized. The transcript is spliced from 3 exons. Lineage: Eukaryota; Viridiplantae; Streptophyta; Magnoliopsida; Poales; Poaceae. The record is from RefSeq and is a predicted model, not a curated record.